GUGCUCGCUUCGGCAGCAUAUAUACUAAUAUUGGAAUGAUACAGAGAAGAUUAGCAUGGCUCCUGCACAAGGAUGACACGCAAAUUCGUGAGCGUUCCAUUAAAGAA
Molecule: small nuclear RNA, 107 nt
Organism: Myotis lucifugus (little brown bat)
Lineage: Eukaryota; Metazoa; Chordata; Mammalia; Chiroptera; Vespertilionidae
Source: Ensembl